Molecule: small nucleolar RNA, 101 nt
Organism: Cavia porcellus (domestic guinea pig)
Lineage: Eukaryota; Metazoa; Chordata; Mammalia; Rodentia; Caviidae
Rfam family: Small nucleolar RNA U13
Source: Rfam
AUCCUCUGGUUCAUGAUCAUGCUGACUGGAUGUUCAUGAAAUUUGUGUGAGAUAUGCCUCCCUCAAAUCUUGUGACAAUGUUGGCAUAUAUUCAUCUGAUU